RNAcentral lists this ribosomal RNA (600 nucleotides) under uncultured bacterium. RNAcentral's name for it is "bacterial SSU rRNA". It matches the Rfam family "Bacterial small subunit ribosomal RNA", at positions 730 to 1329 of the family's 1533-position model. The record is from RNAcentral.
UGGACUGUAACUGACGCUGAGGCGCGAAAGUGUGGGGAGCAAACAGGAUUAGAUACCCUGGUAGUCCACACUGUAAACGAUGAAUGCUAGGUGUAGGGGGUAUCGACCCCUUCUGUGCCGCAGUCAAUACAAUAAGCAUUCCGCCUGGGGAGUACGGCCGCAAGGUUGAAACUCAAAGGAAUUGACGGGGGCCCGCACAAGCAGCGGAGCAUGUGGUUUAAUUCGACGCAACGCGAAGAACCUUACCAGGUCUUGACAUCCAGUUAAACUUAUAGAGAUAUAAGGUGAGCUUGCUCAAACUGAGACAGGUGGUGCAUGGUUGUCGUCAGCUCGUGUCGUGAGAUGUUGGGUUAAGUCCCGCAACGAGCGCAACCCUUACAUUCAGUUACUAACGCGUCAAGGUGAGGACUCUGAAUGGACUGCCGGGGACAACUCGGAGGAAGGUGGGGACGACGUCAAAUCAUCAUGCCCCUUAUGACCUGGGCUACACACGUGCUACAAUGGCCACCACAGAGAGGAGCGAACCUGCGAGGGGGAGCGGAUCUCAAAAAAGUGGUCCCAGUUCGGAUUGUGGGCUGCAACCCGCCCACAUGAAGUCGG